Molecule: non-coding RNA, 545 nt
Organism: Aegilops tauschii subsp. strangulata
Lineage: Eukaryota; Viridiplantae; Streptophyta; Magnoliopsida; Poales; Poaceae
Source: RefSeq, a predicted model, not a curated record
CGUUUGGGUGGCCAGUUGGAGUUCUUAGAGCCUGUAUCACGGCAGCCCAUGCUUGCAAGCUUUUUUUCAAAUAUUGCAGGGUUAUCGAGAGCCUGUAUCCAUGCGGUGCCGCUCCCAGUCCCGCCUCUUCCCAGAAAAUCCCACGGAAAAGUUUCCCCUCUUCUAUGCAAUCCAAGCUUCCGAAGGUUCCUCUCCUCUCCACCGAGUUCGAGCAGCCGCGGCAGCAGCAGCCAUGUGCCGGCGCGCGGCGGCGGCAACCAGGACAUCAGCGCUAGGUCAUACACGAAGCGGAGGGCAUGCCGUUGCUGGCUUACAACGGGGGCUUCGUCGUGGUCUUAGUUCCUGCUGAACGUCUAUGUCGGCAUGGUCGCCUACAUCAUCGAUCUUCCACCACUCUAGUAGCAGUAGCAGUAUCAAGUGUACUGUCGAUGCGUUUGAUCCUUCUAGGGCCUCUGGGCCAAGUGGGACAUGGAGUUGUCGGUGAGUCUGGUGUGCCCCAAGUUAACUGUCUGAUUUAAGUAUGCUGAAUGUUCUUGUUCUUGUUA